This 335-nucleotide long non-coding RNA is filed under the name Pan troglodytes (chimpanzee). Its description in RNAcentral is "long non-coding RNA NONPTRT011685". The record is from RNAcentral. Lineage: Eukaryota; Metazoa; Chordata; Mammalia; Primates; Hominidae.
GCGCGGAGAGCGCGCCCGGGCGGCCAGCGCCGAGCGCGCGGAGCUGGCGUGGGGAGACACGGCAGGAAAGGCGAGCCGGAGUGGGUGAUGAGAGGCCGGGAGAGCCCGUCCGAGCCGGAGAGACCGGAGAGAAGGGAGCGAGCGAGUGUGCGGCGCGCACGCUGCCAGAGCCCGGGCGGAGUGCAGUCGCCUCCAAAGCCUUAGAGCGGCGCCCCAGUCACUGCAGCUCUUCACCCUAGAGCUGUGCCCUGGGACCACAGAGACCAAGAGCAUGGAAAUCGGCUGAGAGACCUGUGAAGCUUGAGGCCACUCAAGUUCCAAAUUUGUGACAAAUC